UGGCGGACGGGUGAGUAUGUCUGGGAAACUGCCUGAUGGAGGGGGAUAACUACUGGAAACGGUAGCUAAUACCGCAUAACGUCGCAAGACCAAAGAGGGGGACCUUCGGGCCUCUUGCCAUCGGAUGUGCCCAGAUGGGAUUAGCUAGUAGGUGGGGUAACGGCUCACCUAGGCGACGAUCCCUAGCUGGUCUGAGAGGAUGACCAGCCACACUGGAACUGAGACACGGUCCAGACUCCUACGGGAGGCAGCAUG
RNAcentral lists this ribosomal RNA (255 nucleotides) under uncultured bacterium. RNAcentral describes it as "partial 16S ribosomal RNA". It matches the Rfam family "Bacterial small subunit ribosomal RNA", at positions 96 to 353 of the family's 1533-position model. The record is from RNAcentral.